GCCGGUGUAGCUCAGGGGUAGAGCAGCGGUUUUGUAAACCGCGGGCCGGGGGUUCAAAUCCCUCCACCGGCU
This 72-nucleotide transfer RNA is filed under the name Acidobacteriota bacterium. RNAcentral describes it as "Acidobacteria bacterium (rhizosphere metagenome) tRNA-Thr". It matches the Rfam family "tRNA". Rfam says of the family: Transfer RNA (tRNA) molecules are approximately 80 nucleotides in length. Their secondary structure includes four short double-helical elements and three loops (D, anti-codon, and T loops). Further hydrogen bonds mediate the characteristic L-shaped molecular structure. tRNAs have two regions of fundamental functional importance: the anti-codon, which is responsible for specific mRNA codon recognition, and the 3' end, to which the tRNAs corresponding amino acid is attached (by aminoacyl-tRNA synthetases). tRNAs cope with the degeneracy of the genetic code in two manners: having more than one tRNA (with a specific anti-codon) for a particular amino acid; and 'wobble' base-pairing, i.e. permitting non-standard base-pairing at the 3rd anti-codon position. RNAcentral also lists the same sequence under 2 other names. Lineage: Bacteria; Pseudomonadati; Acidobacteriota. The record is from RNAcentral.